UGAAGAGUAUAAAUAAGAUGCAGCAAUUACACCAGACUACAAGCAACUCUCAGGCUCUUAUGCUGAAGAUCACUCAGUGGAGGAACUACUCAACCAAAACCAUGCUUUCUCUAAACUGGAUAUUAGUCCUGACACUGGCGCAUCUACACUACCUGGCAACUAGCUUGUCAUUGAGUUCUGUGAAAUGGAAUCAUUUAGUGGAACUGAACGACACCAUCUGUAAAGAGAACACUUCCUUUCACAGUCCCACGACUCAUGUUGAGCAUAAUUGUACUGUGUCAGCUUUGAAAUGCACCAUGAGAGAGCUGGAAAAAGCUCAAAGCAAGUGCUCUUACAUUAGACAUCACCUGCA
Molecule: long non-coding RNA, 352 nt
Organism: Astyanax mexicanus (Mexican tetra)
Lineage: Eukaryota; Metazoa; Chordata; Actinopteri; Characiformes; Acestrorhamphidae
Exons: 3
Source: RefSeq, a predicted model, not a curated record